UCUCAGUGAGUUCGAGAGUUUGUUUGAUUGUUAGGAUGAGUGUACGUAGUAGCUUCAGGUUAGAAGCCGAGAUGAAGAUGGAGUCAAUUACUUCAUCCUAUCGAAUCGAUGAAUUACCAGAGGGUCGUGAAUUUCCAUGCGAUUUUCUCUCCCGUACUAAGAGGAAACAGACCCUUGUGAUCAUGCUCCAUAGGGGUCAUGUUGCAGCUAGAUAGUGACUCAUGUCCAACUACAGUUACUCCUAGGAGAAGUUGGAUUCGAGAUGUUGGAUGUGAGCAGGGUGGAGACUUGUCAUCAGUGAGUAUGUUUCAUGGGACAUCGGGUUUGAACUUUGAAGUAGUCCUUCUCCUUUGAUUCCAAUAUAUAACUCCAUCGACGCACACGCUAGAAUUACUCCCAGCAAAAGAAUGGGUACUGUACUCAUGUCGAAAGGGAGAGCAUCCAUGAACUUGUUGUUAUCUAUAGGCUUUCAUGAGUUAGGAGUUGAACCCAUU
Molecule: RNA transcript, 494 nt
Organism: Fragaria vesca subsp. vesca
Lineage: Eukaryota; Viridiplantae; Streptophyta; Magnoliopsida; Rosales; Rosaceae
Exons: 3
Source: RefSeq, a predicted model, not a curated record